This 68-nucleotide transfer RNA is filed under the name Glyphodes perspectalis. RNAcentral describes it as "tRNA-Met". The record is from RNAcentral. Lineage: Eukaryota; Metazoa; Arthropoda; Insecta; Lepidoptera; Crambidae.
UUAAAAAUAAGCUAAAUUUAAGCUUUUGGGCUCAUACCCCACUUAUAAAGGUAAACCUUUUUUUUAAA